RNAcentral lists this ribosomal RNA (620 nucleotides) under Bacillus sp. (in: firmicutes). Its description in RNAcentral is "bacterial SSU rRNA". It matches the Rfam family "Bacterial small subunit ribosomal RNA", at positions 35 to 637 of the family's 1533-position model. Lineage: Bacteria; Bacillati; Bacillota; Bacilli; Caryophanales; Bacillaceae. The record is from RNAcentral.
GCUGGCGGCGUGCCUAAUACAUGGAAGUCGAGGGGACCGACGGGAGCUUGCUCCCUUAGGUCAGCGGCGGACGGGUGAGUAACACGUGGGUAACCUGCCUGUAAGACUGGGAUAACUCCGGGAAACCGGGGCUAAUACCGGAUGCUUGAUUGAACCGCAUGGUUCAAUCAUAAAAGGCGGCUUCGGCUGCCGUUUACAGAUGGACCCGCGGCGCAUUAGCUAGUUGGUGAGGUAAUGGCUCACCAAGGCGACGAUGCGUAGCCGACCUGAGAGGGUGAUCGGCCACACUGGGACUGAGACACGGCCCAGACUCCUACGGGAGGCAGCAGUAGGGAAUCUUCCGCAAUGGACGAAAGUCUGACGGAGCAACGCCGCGUGAGUGAUGAAGGUUUUCGGAUCGUAAAGCUCUGUUGUUAGGGAAGAACAAGUACCGUUCGAAUAGGGCGGUACCUUGACGGUACCUAACCAGAAAGCCACGGCUAACUACGUGCCAGCAGCCGCGGUAAUACGUAGGUGGCAAGCGUUGUCCGGAAUUAUUGGGCGUAAAGCGCGCGCACGCGGUUUCUUAAGUCUGAUGUGAAAGCCCCCGGCUCAACCCCGGAGGGUCAUUGGAAACUGGG